AGGUAGUUCAGCGUUCUCCCCCCUCACCUUGCAGGAAAGUUGAGAGAGAGCGAAAGAGAGCGAGAGAGCCUUGCUUUAGUGGCACCUAGUGAAUUUGUGGCAGAGGUGAGGACCAGCUCAGGACCAAACAAGAUUCCUGCCUUUCUCUAUGGUGGCCUAUGACCGGAAUUUCCCCAGACAUGUCCAGGAUUCAAACGGUAAAAUUAGCGUCUGAGGGGAAAUUUAAAAAUCAGCAAAAUGUCCGAGUUUUCGGCAACAGAACUUUUGUGUCCAGAUUUUUCUUCUUGAAAUAUGGCAGCCCUACUUUAUCCCUUGUGCAUGUGAUUUUAAAAUAAAAUAAAAUGGUGUGAAUACAGAGAACUAAACUGGGACCAUGGGAAAGGGAGAAGGAGCACCCCCCAAAAAAACCCCACAGUACAGAUGUGAACUGGGACCACCUGAGCUGGCUACUUCUAUAGGGAAGAAAACUUCCACUGGCGCCGAAGGGAAAUUCCCUCUCAUUGCAAAUAGGCAGAAUGGCGGGUGGAAGAGGACUGAUCUGGCUUGUUCUCUCUCCCCACACCACCAGCUAUUUAAGUUUUUUUGGAAAAAUCAAGUAUGCAAGGGGUAAAGUAGGGCCACCAUACGUCUGGAAUUCCCCAGACAUAGCCGGAUUCGGCUCUCGUAAACAGCACCUGGGCAGAAAUCGCUGAAAUGUCCAGGAAAAUCCAGACGUAAUGGCAACCCAUGUUGGAAGUGUAGAUUCUCCACAAAAGGCAUUCAAAGCAAUAUACAAUGGUGCCUGAAAGCAGAAAAACACUGUGGCGUAGGAUGUUUUUGAUUCAGUGCUAUUCUGAUGUCUCUUCAAAUGUAACUGCUUUAGUUGUAUCCUUUACAAAUAAGGAAAACAUAAUGGAAAAGAUACAGAUUGAUGUCUUGUUUUUAAUAUAAUGCCACACAAAGAAAAUAAAAAGUCAAAGUGCUGAAGUUCCACUGUUAUCAAAAGAGGCUUUGGAACCAAAAUGAGCACCGUUAUAUAAAAUGCAUCGCAGAACUGAAUGUGUUUUCUUUUCACAGUUAGACUGAAAACCAUAUUUUCAUUGCUAACCAUCAUGAAUUCUAACAAGAUUUAUUAGCUUUACAAGCUUAGCAGUUUCCCACAUCUUCAUAAUCCCAUCAGCACUCUUUGGAAAAAGUCUGAUGAUUUCUAGAGCCGAGCUUUUCCUUGCCUAGUGGCUCUAAAUGCAUUGGAUGGCAGCCCUAUGGAAAAGGAGAUUAUGUAUCUUUUAAAAAGAAAAAUGCAACUCGUGUUUUUAUUUUAUUUAUUUGAAAUGCUUCUGGGCUGCCUUUACGAGUCAAAACAAGAUGGCUUACAAAUAAAGCAUACUACUUCCACAAAACAUUAAUAAAAGCCAGCCAUAAAAACAACAAAUACAUCCAGCACAAACAAGCACAACCAAAACCAUCAGCAGAAGAAUUAACUCUGCCAUGACCUCGCCAUGUAGCCCUCAUCCAGCAACCAUCUCUCAGCCUCAACCUGCCACCUGCAAUAAUAUUGGCCUACCUGACUUUCCCAGGUGUCAUAGGAAGUAGUGGGGAAGGCACUGGUGUCCACAGGUAUCACAUUGGUGACCCUUGACCUACUGUCGCAUCUGGAGCUCAGCCUGAGGAUGGGCCCUGUCCUGUUGUGCAUUGCAGCUUCUUGGCCUGCAUCAAAGCAGAAAGGGAGAGCUGGUUUAGCACAGUUGCUCAGAAGAGCAUGAGCUCACAGCUGCAGCUUGCAUCUUACAGCAGCCAUGAGUUCCCUUGGCAGUCUUUAGUCAACUGCCAUUCUCUGAGCCUUAGCCACUGUCAGUGCCGGAUUUAUGUAUAAGGAUUUAUGUAUAUACACAUAUGUAUAUAUGUAUAAUGUAUUUUUAUUUAUCCUAUUUACUGAUAGGAAGUGCCUACAGAGGGUGGUGAAUACAGCACAAGAUAUUAUGGGCUGUCCCGUGAAUCCGCUGGAUGAAAUAGCGAAAGAACGGUGCCUCAAGAGAGUGAGGAAAAUUCUCAAGGAUGAUUCACACCCUGGUCGGCGCUUUCUUGAUCUCCUGCCCUCGGGCAGAAGAUAUAGAAGCAUGAUUAGUCGCACCAACAAGGUAAAGAACAGCUUCUAUCCGUGGGCUGUUAGGCGGCUGAAUGAAAAGAUAACAACAGGGCAACUGACUUUCGGGUUUCGUGGGUGCGCGUCAGUAAACGAGGGGAAUGAAGACUAAGAGAGCUGAGUGGGGGGUGCUGGUGUAAUCUCACUGUAUACAAGUUGUACAAGUGACAAUAAAGUGUUUCUAUUUCAAUUUCAAGCUAAACAAGCUAUAGCUUAGGGCCCCACUCUCUUGGGGGGCCCCAAAAAAUUAAAGGAAAAAAACACCUGGAUGUACAUUUCCAAUAUAUAAGAUAA
This is a non-coding RNA of Podarcis lilfordi (Lilford's wall lizard), 2416 nucleotides long. Lineage: Eukaryota; Metazoa; Chordata; Lepidosauria; Squamata; Lacertidae. The record is from the annotation of a GenBank genome assembly.